Molecule: non-coding RNA, 449 nt
Organism: Lynx canadensis (Canada lynx)
Lineage: Eukaryota; Metazoa; Chordata; Mammalia; Carnivora; Felidae
Source: the annotation of a RefSeq genome assembly
GUGGCCCGAGCAAAGUAGACCCAGCGAAAACAGCAAGAUGGUGUCUCCAUCACAGCUUCUUGGGCUUCUGCUUCUCUGGGUUCCGGCCUCCAGUGGUGAGGUUGUGCUGACCCAGUCCCCAGCCUUCCUGUCCAGGACUCUAAAAGAAAAAGCCACCAUCACCUGCCGAGCCAAUCAGGGCAUCAGCACCAACUUGCACUGGUAUCAGCAGAAACCAAAUCAGGCUCCGAAGCUCCUUGUGAAGUAUGCUUCCCAGUCCGUCUCGGGAGCGCCGUCGCGGUUCAGCGGCAGUGGGUCUGGGACAGAUUUCACCCUCACCAUCAGCAGCCUGGAGCCUGAAGACGCUGCCACUUACUACUGCCAGCAAAGUAACAAUUUCCCUCGCACAGUGUUACAGACCAGACCAUAAACCACCAGGGACGCAGAUGUGAGAGGCCGGGCUGCCCCCG